Non-coding RNA from Klebsiella pneumoniae subsp. pneumoniae MGH 78578, 194 nucleotides. The record is from Rfam. Lineage: Bacteria; Pseudomonadati; Pseudomonadota; Gammaproteobacteria; Enterobacterales; Enterobacteriaceae.
AAUAGGCUUUCAGCGUCCGCUGGCAGAGGGCCGAGCGCACGCAGUCAUCGGUGGUGAAACGCACGAUGCCGAUCAUCUCGUCUUCCUCAAAACGCGCCAGCGCAUCGCUCAGGCCAGAUCUCACGCCAGAGGGCAAGUCGCACUGGGUGAUAUCGCCAUUGACGAUGACCGUCACGUUCUCCCCGAGGCGGGUU